This 440-nucleotide ribosomal RNA is filed under the name uncultured bacterium. RNAcentral describes it as "partial 16S ribosomal RNA". It matches the Rfam family "Bacterial small subunit ribosomal RNA", at positions 338 to 795 of the family's 1533-position model. The record is from RNAcentral.
CCUACGGGAGGCAGCAGUGGGGAAUAUUGCUCAAUGGGCGCAACCCUGAUGCAGCCACGCCGCGUGAGUGAAGAAGGACUUCGGGAUGUAAACCUCUUUCAGCAGGGAAGAAAACGACGGUACUUGUCUCAGGAGCGCCGGCUAACUACGGGCCAGCAGCCGCGGUAAUACGUCGGGCGCAAGCGUUAUUCGGAUUUACUGGGUGUAAAGGGAGCGUAGGCGGUGAUGCAAGUCAGACGUGAAAGCCCUCGGCUCAACUGCGGGACUGCUUUUGAAACUGGAUGACUAGAGUGCAGGAGAGGUAAGUAGAAUUCCUAGUGUAGCGGUGAAAUGCGUAGAGAUUAGGAGGAACACCAGUGGCGAAGGCGGCUUACUGGACUGUAAAUGACGCUGAGGCUCGAAAGCGUGGGGAGCAAACAGGAUUAGAUACCCUUGUAGUC